RNAcentral lists this ribosomal RNA (466 nucleotides) under Vreelandella stevensii. Its description in RNAcentral is "partial 16S ribosomal RNA". It matches the Rfam family "Bacterial small subunit ribosomal RNA", at positions 338 to 795 of the family's 1533-position model. The record is from RNAcentral. Lineage: Bacteria; Pseudomonadati; Pseudomonadota; Gammaproteobacteria; Oceanospirillales; Halomonadaceae.
CCUACGGGUGGCAGCAGUGGGGAAUAUUGGACAAUGGGCGAAAGCCUGAUCCAGCCAUGCCGCGUGUGUGAAGAAGGCCUUCGGGUUGUAAAGCACUUUCAGUGGGGAAGAAAGCCUUGGGGCUAAUACCCUCGAGGAAGGACAUCACCCACAGAAGAAGCACCGGCUAACUCCGUGCCAGCAGCCGCGGUAAUACGGAGGGUGCGGAGCGUUAAUCGGAAUUACUGGGCGUAAAGCGCGCGUAGGCGGUCUGAUAAGCCGGUUGUGAAAGCCCCGGGCUCAACCUGGGAACGGCAUCCGGAACUGUCAGGCUAGAGUGCAGGAGAGGAAGGUAGAAUUCCCGGUGUAGCGGUGAAAUGCGUAGAGAUCGGGAGGAAUACCAGUGGCGAAGGCGGCCUUCUGGACUGACACUGACGCUGAGGUGCGAAAGCGUGGGUAGCAAACAGGAUUAGAUACCCCAGUAGUC